AGAGUUUGAUCCUGGCUCAGGAUGAACGCUGGCGGUGUGCCUAAUACAUGCAAGUCGAACGGGAAACUUCUGGUACUUGUAUCGGUUGUUUCUAGUGGCGAACGGGUGAGUAACGCGUUGGUAACCUACCCCAAAGUGGGGGAUAACAGAACGAAAGAUCUGCUAAUACCCCAUGUCAUCAUUGUUUUUAGAAAGCAAUGAUCAAAGGAUUUAUUCGCUUUGGGAGGGACCUGCGUCCCAUCAGCUAGUUGGUAGGGUAAUGGCCUACCAAGGCUAUGACGGGUAAGGGACCUGAGAGGGUGGCCCCUCACAAUGGAACUGAAACACGGUCCAUACACCUACGGGUGGCAGCAGUAGGGAAUAUUGCACAAUGGACGAAAGUCUGAUGCAGCAACACCGCGUGUAUGAUGAAGGUCUUCGGAUCGUAAAAUACUUUUCAGGGAGAAGAGAAAGGACGGUAUCCCUGGAAUAAGUCUCGGCUAACUACGUGCCAGCAGCCGCGGUAACACGUAGGAGGCGAGCGUUAUCCGGAUUUACUGGGUGUAAAGCGCGUGCAGGCGGUUUGAUAAGUUGGAUGUGAAAGCUCCCGGCUCAACUGGGAGAGGUCGUUCAAAACUAUCAGACUAGAGAGUGAUAGAGGAAGAUGGAAUUCCCGGUGUAGUGGUGAAAUGCGUAGAUAUCGGGAGGAACACCAGUGGCGAAGGCGGUCUUCUGGCUCAUUUCUGACGCUAAGACGCGAAAGCUAGGGUAGCAAACGGGAUUAGAGACCCCGGUAGUCCCAGCAGUAAACGAUGUGAACUUGGCGUCGGUGGUGUAAAAACCAUCGGUGCCGUAGCUAACGCGAUAAGUUCACACCUGGGAACUACGGCCGCAAGGUUAAAACUCAAAGGAAUUGACGGGUCCCCGCACAAGCAGCGGAGCGUGUGGUUUAAUUCGAUUUACGCGAAGAACCUUACCCGGGUUUGACAUACAAGUGGUAGUGAAGCGAAAGCGGAACGACCCUUCGGGGAGCUUGUACAGGUGCUGCAUGGCUGUCGUCAGCUCGUGUCGUGAGAUGUCCGGUUAAGUCCGGUAACGAGCGCAACCCUCGCCGUAUGUUACAAGUGUCAUACGGGACCGCCGGUAUCAAGCCGGAGGAAGGUGGGGAUGACGUCAAGUCAGCAUGGCCUUUAUAUCCGGGGCUACACACACACUACAAUGGCCGGUACAAUAGGUUGCGAAACCGCGAGGUGGAGCUAAUCCCUAAAGCCGGUCUCAGUUCAGAUCGCAGGCUGCAACUCGCCUGCGUGAAGUCGGAGUUGCUAAACGCGCGUCAGCUAUAGUGCGUUGAAUACGUUCCCGGGGAUUGUACACACCGCCCGUCACGUCAUGGGAGCUGGCAACACCUGAAGCCAGUAGCCUAACCGCAAGGAGGGCGCUGUCUAAGGUGGGGUUGGUGACUGGGACGAAGUCGUAACAAGGUA
This 1463-nucleotide ribosomal RNA is filed under the name metagenome. RNAcentral's name for it is "bacterial SSU rRNA". It matches the Rfam family "Bacterial small subunit ribosomal RNA". The record is from RNAcentral.